Molecule: long non-coding RNA, 620 nt
Organism: Anthonomus grandis grandis
Lineage: Eukaryota; Metazoa; Arthropoda; Insecta; Coleoptera; Curculionidae
Exons: 3
Source: RefSeq, a predicted model, not a curated record
UUUGUGGUGAAAACAGUAAAAAAAAUAAAAACAAAUUAAUAAAAGGUGGUAUUGUGAUCCAUUAAGUUUUUUUCGCGGAAGUACAUUUUUUGUCUUUGAAUACACGUACACAUUUGUGUACACUGUGAAUCAGGGAAGUAAAAUUACAAGAAUCCUCGUUUGUAAUAAGCCGAAAACGCCCGCUAACAGAUAAAGAACUAUUAGAUUUAAUAGAAGCCGGAUUAUCAGACAUUGAAGGACUCAGUGACGCGGCGAAUUCAAUGAAGAUGAUGGCUUUGACUUUGAUUCUGAAGAAUUACAAGCAAUGAGUGAUGAGCAGGAAGCGGCUGAACCUGUUCCCAGCACACCUGUAACUCAACAACGUGAAGAGACUGAGCAGCUAGAACAAGCAGAACCUAAACCUGUUCCCAACAUAAUGGCAAACACUCCACAAAAGUCGAAGGAAUCCAAUAUAGAAGACUAUUUGGAAAACAAUGGUCUUUCAAAGAAAAAGGAUAUAUUCUGGCGAAAAAAUGUGCAGAAUAUCACUCCACCGAUAGAGUGGCACGUUAGAGAAGAAGAACCAGUAGUUCAGCUAGAAGCCCAGCGUUUUUUUUUCUGUAAUUAUUUUGCAGAUAUUU